Molecule: ribosomal RNA, 460 nt
Filed under: uncultured bacterium
Lineage: Bacteria
Description: partial 16S ribosomal RNA
Rfam family: Bacterial small subunit ribosomal RNA
Source: RNAcentral
CCUACGGGAGGCAGCAGUGAGGAAUAUUGGUCAAUGGACGAGAGUCUGAACCAGCCAAGUAGCGUGAAGGAUGACUGCCCUAUGGGUUGUAAACUUCUUUUAUACAGGAAUAAAACGAGGCACGUGUGCCUUUUUGCAUGUACUUUAUGAAUAAGGAUCGGCUAACUCCGUGCCAGCAGCCGCGGUAAUACGGAGGAUCCGAGCGUUAUCCGGAUUUAUUGGGUUUAAAGGGCGCGUAGAUGGGUUGUUAAGUCAGUUGUGAAAGUUUGCGGCUCAACCGUAAAAUUGCAAUUGAUACUGGCAGACUUGAGUACAGUUGAGGUAGGCGGAAUUCGUGGUAGAGCGGUGAAAUGCUUAGAUAUCGCGAAGAACCCCGAUUGCGAAGGCAGCUUACUAAACAUUGACUGACAUUGAUGCUCGAAAGUGAGGGUAGCAAACAGGAUUAGAUACCCGAGUAGUC